RNAcentral lists this ribosomal RNA (537 nucleotides) under uncultured Sideroxydans sp. RNAcentral's name for it is "bacterial SSU rRNA". It matches the Rfam family "Bacterial small subunit ribosomal RNA", at positions 83 to 616 of the family's 1533-position model. Lineage: Bacteria; Pseudomonadati; Pseudomonadota; Betaproteobacteria; Nitrosomonadales; Gallionellaceae. The record is from RNAcentral.
CCCUGGUGGCGAGUGGCGAACGGGUGAGUAAUAUAUCGGAACAUGUCCGGAAGUGGGGGAUAACGUAGCGAAAGUUACGCUAAUACCGCAUAUGCCCUGAGGGGGAAAGGAGGGGAUCGCAAGACCUUUCGCUUUCGGAGUGGCCGAUAUCAGAUUAGCUAGUUGGUGGGGUAAAGGCCUACCAAGGCAACGAUCUGUAGCUGGUCUGAGAGGACGACCAGCCACACUGGGACUGAGACGCGGCCCAGACUCCUACGGGAGGCAGCAGUGGGGAAUUUUGGACAAUGGGGGCAACCCUGAUCCAGCCAUGCCGCGUGAGUGAAGAAGGCCUUCGGGUUGUAAAGCUCUUUCAGCCGGAAAGAAAUCGUGCAGAUUAAUACUCUGUAUGGAUGACGGUACCGGAAGAAGAAGCACCGGCUAACUACGUGCCAGCAGCCGCGGUAAUACGUAGGGUGCGAGCGUUAAUCGGAAUUACUGGGCGUAAAGCGUGCGCAGGCGGUUUUGUAAGACAGGUGUGAAAUCCCCGGGCUUAACCUG